GAUGAAGAACGUAGCGAAAUGCGAUAAGUAAUGUGAAUUGCAGAAUUCAGUGAAUCAUCGAAUCUUUGAACGCACAUUGCGCCCAUUAGUAUUCUAGUGGGCAUGCCUGUUCGAGCGUCAUUAAGUCCACUUAAGCCCUGCUUAGUGUUGGGAGACUGCUCCAGCGGUGCUACCCUGUAGCUACCCUGCAGCUCCUCAAAGACAGCGGCGGAGUUGUGGUAUCCUCUGAGCUUAGUAACUUGUUCUAGCUUUCGAGUACACCACUUCCCCUGCCGUAAAACCCUUAAUUUUUAAUGGUUGACCUCGGAUCAGGUAGGAAUACCCGCUGAACUUAAGCAUAUCAAAGCGGAGGA
This 353-nucleotide unclassified non-coding RNA is filed under the name soil metagenome. RNAcentral's name for it is "partial contains 5.8S ribosomal RNA, internal transcribed spacer 2, and large subunit ribosomal RNA". The stretch from base 1 to 120 matches the Rfam family "5.8S ribosomal RNA", at positions 35 to 154 of the family's 154-position model. The record is from RNAcentral.